Molecule: small nuclear RNA, 107 nt
Filed under: Meriones unguiculatus (Mongolian gerbil)
Lineage: Eukaryota; Metazoa; Chordata; Mammalia; Rodentia; Muridae
Source: RNAcentral
GUGCUUGCUUUGGCAGUACAUAUACUAAAAUUGGAAUGGUACAGAGAAGAUUAGCAUGGCCCCUUUGCAAGGAUGACAUUCAAAUUUGUGAAGCGUUCCAUAUUUUU